RNAcentral lists this ribosomal RNA (253 nucleotides) under uncultured bacterium. RNAcentral describes it as "partial 16S ribosomal RNA". It matches the Rfam family "Bacterial small subunit ribosomal RNA", at positions 524 to 776 of the family's 1533-position model. The record is from RNAcentral.
UACGGAGGGUGCAACCGUUGCUCGGAAUCAUUGGGCGUAAAGCGCACGUAGGCGGACUGUUAAGUCGGACGUGAAAUCCCUCAGCUUAACUGAGGAAGUGCAUUCGAAACUGGCAGUCUUGAGUACGGGAGAGGGUCGCGGAAUUCCCGGUGUAGAGGUGAAAUUCGUAGAUAUCGGGAGGAACACCAGUGGCGAAGGCGGCGGCCUGGACCGAUACUGACGCUGAGGUGCGAAAGCGUGGGGAGCAAACAGG